This is an RNA transcript of Nerophis lumbriciformis (worm pipefish), 1144 nucleotides long. RefSeq lists it as uncharacterized. Lineage: Eukaryota; Metazoa; Chordata; Actinopteri; Syngnathiformes; Syngnathidae. The record is from RefSeq and is a predicted model, not a curated record.
UAGCAACCAGAUGACUGAGACAUAAAAGUGGACUACAUAGUUGGAAAAAGAAGUUAUCCCAGUCAAAAGGAGAUACUUUUUUUUUGGAAUAGAGAGCCUAUAGAAGAAGAAAAAUGCAUUCCUCAAGGGUUAGCAGACACAAACAGACUUUGGACGCUUCAUCAGAGCCAAGAGACAGGACCAAAACGCUCAGAGUGCCCCCGUUGCGUCAAAACAGAGCAGCCAGCUGUCCCAGACCACCACAGAAUGGGGGUCUUUCCGAGGUGAGCUGUGAACGCAGGACCAGGUCCAGCUCCACUGCCCCCAGACCCGACGGACUAAAAGGAAAGCGGGGCUUACAUGCACAGUGGCGGGAAGGGAGCGAGGGUCCUGGGCAGAGAGGGCGAGGGGGCGUCCCGACUCAGAAGAAGCUUGCAAUCCAGAGCCACAAAGCCUUCACCGUUAUUCCCCCCGACCCCAAGAAGAGACGGGACAUCCAAAAAAAGGCGGAUGCCGAGCUCGCCGCUCUGGAGGAGCUGAGGCUGAGCAGAGCGAUGGCGUACGUCACCAUCCAACCCAGCCGUGUUGCUGGCGUACCACACUGUUAUGCAGUACGUCAGCAGGCUCUCGACAGCCGAGCGAUAGAAGGUCACCAUCAGAUGCCUCUCCAGUCUGUUCUUCCUCAGCACCCUCAGGAAGUGGAGUCUCCGCUGGGCCUUCCGGAUGACCGCAGUUAUAUUUUGGGUCCAGGAGAGGGGGCCGCAUGAGUCUGGAGGCAGUUCGACUGAGGCAACAGCAGGAAAUGAUGCAGACCAAGAGGAAACCGAUACGGAAGCAGGUGGUGGAGCAAACUCAUGUUCUGACGGGCUGAGCUCCACGCAAGGGAGGAGAAUCCAAACCCUUUUUAGAUUUACACAAUGCAAUAAAUUAUGCCAAUCAAAAUAUUCUCGUCAGUUCACAGUCAAGGGCCUUCCAUGAUAACAACAAGCCAUGGGGAGAAAUAAUAAGCAAUCGAAGCAUUGAUUGUUUGACAACAUUCUACAAAAAAAACAUAAAAAAAGACACUGACAUUUUGAUGUGACAGCAACAAAGUGACAAAAUUAAAAUGUCAGAAUGCAGCAUAAAACUCAGUGGCUUAGUGGUUAGAGUAGGGGUACCCAAACUA